GACAGAGGGGGCAAGCGUUGCUCGGAAUCACUGGGCGUAAAGGGCGCGUAGGCGGGAUGGCAAGUCAGUCGUGAAAUCUCUCGGCUCAACCGAGAAACGUCGGCUGAUACUGCCGUUCUUGAGGGAUGCAGAGGAGACUGGAAUUCCCGGUGUAGCGGUGAAAUGUGUAGAGAUCGGGAGGAACACCGGUGGCGAAGGCGGGUCUCUGGGCCGGUACUGACACUGAGGAGCGAAAGCGUGGGUAGCAAACAGG
Molecule: ribosomal RNA, 253 nt
Filed under: uncultured bacterium
Lineage: Bacteria
Description: partial 16S ribosomal RNA
Rfam family: Bacterial small subunit ribosomal RNA
Source: RNAcentral